ACGGGUGAGUAACACGUAUGCAAUCCACCUGUAACAGGGGGAUAACCCGGAGAAAUCCGGACUAAUACCCCAUAAUAUGGGCGCUCCGCAUGGAGAGCCCAUUAAAGAGAGCAAUUCUGGUUACAGACGAGCAUGCGCUCCAUUAGCCAGUUGGCGGGGUAACGGCCCACCAAAGCGACGAUGGAUAGGGGUUCUGAGAGGAAGGUCCCCCACAUUGGAACUGAGACACGGUCCAA
Molecule: ribosomal RNA, 236 nt
Filed under: uncultured bacterium
Lineage: Bacteria
Description: partial 16S ribosomal RNA
Rfam family: Bacterial small subunit ribosomal RNA
Source: RNAcentral